UACGAAGGGUGCAAACGUUGCUCGGAAUCAUUGGGCGUAAAGCGCACGUAGGCGGCUUGCCAAGUCGGACGUGAAAUCCCUCAGCUCAACUGAGGACGUGCAUCCGAAACUGGCGAGCUUGAGUACUGAAGAGGAUCGCGGAAUUCCCGGUGUAGAGGUGAAAUUCGUAGAUAUCGGGAGGAACACCAGUGGCGAAGGCGGCGAUCUGGGCAGAUACUGACGCUGAGGUGCGAAAGCGUGGGGAGCAAACAGGG
RNAcentral lists this ribosomal RNA (254 nucleotides) under uncultured bacterium. Its description in RNAcentral is "partial 16S ribosomal RNA". It matches the Rfam family "Bacterial small subunit ribosomal RNA", at positions 524 to 777 of the family's 1533-position model. The record is from RNAcentral.